AGAGUUUGAUCCUGGCUCAGAUUGAACGCUGGCGGCAUGCCUUACACAUGCAAGUCGAACGGCAGCGCGGGGCAACCUGGCGGCGAGUGGCGAACGGGUGAGUAAUAUAUCGGAACGUACCCUGGAGUGGGGGAUAACGUAGCGAAAGUUACGCUAAUACCGCAUACGAUCUAAGGAUGAAAGUGGGGGAUUCGCAAGAACCUCAUGCUCCUGGAGCGGCCGAUAUCUGAUUAGCUAGUUGGUAGGGUAAAAGCCUACCAAGGCAUCGAUCAGUAGCUGGUCUGAGAGGACGACCAGCCACACUGGAACUGAGACACGGUCCAGACUCCUACGGGAGGCAGCAGUGGGGAAUUUUGGACAAUGGGCGCAAGCCUGAUCCAGCAAUGCCGCGUGAGUGAAGAAGGCCUUCGGGUUGUAAAGCUCUUUUGUCAGGGAAGAAACGGGUCUUUCUAAUACAGAGGUCUAAUGACGGUACCUGAAGAAUAAGCGCCGGCUAACUACGUGCCAGCAGCCGCGGUAAUACGUAGGGUGCAAGCGUUAAUCGGAAUUACUGGGCGUAAAGCGUGCGCAGGCGGUUUUGUAAGACUGUCGUGAAAUCCCCGGGCUCAACCUGGGAAUGGCGAUGGUGACUGCAAGGCUAGAGUUUGGCAGAGGGGGGUAGAAUUCCACGUGUAGCAGUGAAAUGCGUAGAUAUGUGGAGGAACACCGAUGGCGAAGGCAGCCCCCUGGGUCAAAACUGACGCUCAUGCACGAAAGCGUGGGGAGCAAACAGGAUUAGAUACCCUGGUAGUCCACGCCCUAAACGAUGUCUACUAGUUGUCGGGUUUUAAUUAACUUGGUAACGCAGCUAACGCGUGAAGUAGACCGCCUGGGGAGUACGGUCGCAAGAUUAAAACUCAAAGGAAUUGACGGGGACCCGCACAAGCGGUGGAUGAUGUGGAUUAAUUCGAUGCAACGCGAAAAACCUUACCUACCCUUGACAUGGCAGAAAUCCUCGAGAGAAUGAGGAGUGCUCGAAAGAGAAUCUGCACACAGGUGCUGCAUGGCUGUCGUCAGCUCGUGUCGUGAGAUGUUGGGUUAAGUCCCGCAACGAGCGCAACCCUUGUCAUUAGUUGCUACGAAAGAGCACUCUAAUGAGACUGCCGGUGACAAACCGGAGGAAGGUGGGGAUGACGUCAAGUCCUCAUGGCCCUUAUGGGUAGGGCUUCACACGUCAUACAAUGGUACAUACAGAGGGCCGCCAACCCGCGAGGGGGAGCUAAUCCCAGAAAGUGUAUCGUAGUCCGGAUUGUAGUCUGCAACUCGACUGCAUGAAGUUGGAAUCGCUAGUAAUCGCGGAUCAGCAUGUCGCGGUGAAUACGUUCCCGGGUCUUGUACACACCGCCCGUCACACCAUGGGAGCGGGUUUUACCAGAAGUAGGUAGCUUAACCGCAAGGAGGGCGCUUACCACGGUAGGAUUCGUGACUGGGGUGAAGUCGUAACAAGGUAACC
This 1492-nucleotide ribosomal RNA is filed under the name uncultured bacterium. Its description in RNAcentral is "bacterial SSU rRNA". It matches the Rfam family "Bacterial small subunit ribosomal RNA". The record is from RNAcentral.